CAUGGCUGAAACUCUUUAAGAUGUAUUUGUUAUUUUAUAGCGGCCUUCCAGAUUUCUCCCCCCCCCGCCCCCAAACUCCCAUCCGUCCUGACCAUUAGGAGUUGGAUGUCCAAAAGAAGCUGGAAGGUCUCAAGCUGAGAGGUUGCUUCAGGCAUUGCAGAAUCUUCUAGCUCCAGGCAAUGGGUUCAUAGGCAACUUCUUCAGUGAAACUUGCUUGUAAAAGCUGACCAGGCUUCUGUGGCACCGAGUUCAUGUGUUUAAACCAUUCAUUGAAGGCUUCAUGGGCUUCCUAAAUUGGGUUGGAAAUGUUUAGACAUUUUCAUGUAGUUAUUCUAAUGACACUCUGCAGUUACAAAGACAAUCCAUAAGCUAUUUGUAUAAACAAUGGUCGUCCUUGUGAAUGUGUGUUAAAAAUAGCCAAAAUAUUUCAGCAAACGGUUUGCUAUUUGUGUUUCCAUUUUAAGAAAUGAAAACUGUUCUAGUAAUUUUAGAGCUUAUUGUAGAUGAUAUAUUGCAUCUAAAGACUUACCUGAAUGUAUGUUUUCAAAACGUCCACCGAUACUUCCUCCUUAAUGGAAAAAGUUACUAGGUUUAAUAACAUUACUUAAGAAUGUCAAUUAAAUUUCCAAGUCACUGUUACCUUUCUAUACUAUCUGAAAAUCGCUAGUUACAUCCAGAUCUCUUUAAGACAAAUGACUGAGUCUAGACUGGAACCAAAUGAGUUACAGUUGAGCAUUGUCAGAUGUCAGGCAUUCCAUAACAGGUGACACUAUUCUUACCAUGUGAUAUUUGAUUAUCAGUCAUUCCAUCUUAAUACCUCUGGGAAGGAGAAUAGCUUUGCAGCAUCAGCAAAAACUGGAAAUUUGUUACAUUACAACUGGAGUUUUGUUAUAUUAACCUUGCACAUUUCAGGGAUAGACAGAAAAUGAAGACUAUGAGGAUACUGACGUUAACUCACAGACAAGAAAGGCUUUAGUUCUUUUAUGGAUAUUUACUUGUACAACAGGACCUGAUUUUCCCUUAAUCAGCAGGUUACUCCCGCUGUAGAGGUACAGAUAUUGUUUGCUUACACAGAAAUACAUCUUUUUUUACCAUUCCCUCAUUAUUCUAUAUCUACACAAAACGUUAUGGGUUUCUUGCUUAGCCCAAACUUUACUUGAAAGGAAACCAUUUAACUAGACAAAAUCAACUGACAAAUUAAAUUAUGGUGGAAAAUUA
Molecule: long non-coding RNA, 1218 nt
Organism: Podarcis raffonei (Aeolian wall lizard)
Lineage: Eukaryota; Metazoa; Chordata; Lepidosauria; Squamata; Lacertidae
Exons: 3
Source: RefSeq, a predicted model, not a curated record